UACAGAGGGUGCAAGCGUUAAUCGGAAUUACUGGGCGUAAAGCGUGCGUAGACGGUAGCGUAAGUCGGGUGUGAAAGCCCCGGGCUCAACCUGGGAAUUGCAUUCGAGACUGCUCUGCUAGGGUGCGGAAGAGGGAAGCGGAAUUUCCGGUGUAGCGGUGAAAUGCGUAGAUAUCAGGAGGAACACCAAUUGCGAAGGCAGCUCGCUGGGACGUUACUGACGCUGAGACGCGAAAGCGUGGGGAGCAAACAGG
Molecule: ribosomal RNA, 253 nt
Filed under: uncultured bacterium
Lineage: Bacteria
Description: partial 16S ribosomal RNA
Rfam family: Bacterial small subunit ribosomal RNA
Source: RNAcentral